GUUCUUUCCUGGCCUGGCAGUCAAAACAGUAGGGCGCUUCAGCAUUUUUGUUCUAUGUCCGGGAGCCACAGAAUCCUCCAGGUUUCACCUCCACUCUGAAAUCAAGAAAGAUCCCUACUGAAGCUGCUGCUUAAGGCCGGGGCUCCUUCUCGACUCUGGUAAGCUCAUAGCACUUCACACAGCUGGCAUGAAGGACUCACAAAUGGCUGGGUGUUUAGCCACCACACAACAGAAAUGAAAGGUUCCCCAAGUCCUGGUGCGAGCUUCACAUUGAGUCACAUGCAAGAACAUCAGAAUUCCCUGUGUCUCCAAUAUUAUCUUGUGUUAGUUUUGUUGUUGUUGUUUGUUUGCUUGUUUUUUGUUUUCGUUUUGUUUUGUUUUGUUUUUUUAACUAACCGAAACCUGGUGGAACCUGUACCUGCUUUUAUCACCAAAAAUUAAAAAUUCAGAGCAUUUUCUUCUAUAAA
Non-coding RNA from Rattus norvegicus (Norway rat), 467 nucleotides. Lineage: Eukaryota; Metazoa; Chordata; Mammalia; Rodentia; Muridae. The record is from RefSeq and is a predicted model, not a curated record.